RNAcentral lists this long non-coding RNA (426 nucleotides) under Ananas comosus (pineapple). Its description in RNAcentral is "long non-coding RNA (ACOM_LNC008778)". Lineage: Eukaryota; Viridiplantae; Streptophyta; Magnoliopsida; Poales; Bromeliaceae. The record is from RNAcentral.
ACGUCGCAGUGGUUACGAUAGGGCAAGGGAGAGGUGGUGAUAAAAAGAAUUAUAGAGAGAAAAAAUAAGAAUAAUAAAAAAUAAAAAAUAUAUUUUUCUACAGAAAAGACCAAAAAAUAUAGAAGAAGAAAGAAGAAGAUUAAAUUGCAUUGUUAAAAUAAGAUUACACCGUUUUAAAAAAAAUUUACACUAUUUUAAUAAAAAUUACACUACUUGAUAUAGAUAUUACACUCUUUUGGAAUGAAAUUUACACUAUUUAGACCAAAGUUGUGCAAUUUAGAAAAAUUUUACACCAUUUAUUUUUCUCUUCUUUUUCUCUUUCUCUUCCUCUUCCUCUUUUUCUUCCUCCGUCCACUGCCCGUACAGCACCGACUCCACCUCCACGCUGCUUAAUCAUAUACCAGAUGGCUCAUGAUUCUCCCUAAU